RNAcentral lists this ribosomal RNA (274 nucleotides) under uncultured bacterium. RNAcentral describes it as "partial 16S ribosomal RNA". It matches the Rfam family "Bacterial small subunit ribosomal RNA", at positions 523 to 796 of the family's 1533-position model. The record is from RNAcentral.
AUACGGAGGGUGCAAGCGUUAUUCGGAAUCACUGGGCGUAAAGGACGCGUAGGCGGGUUGGCAAGUCAGACGUGAAAUCCUACAGCUUAACUGUAGAACUGCAUUUGAAACUGCUAACCUAGAGUAUGGGAGGGGGAGAUGGAAUUAGUGGUGUAGGGGUAAAAUCCGUAGAUAUCACUAGGAAUACCGAAAGCGAAGGCGAUCUCCUGGAACAUAACUGACGCUAAGGCGUGAAAGCGUGGGGAGCAAACAGGAUUAGAUACCCUAGUAGUCC